CCUACGGGGGGCUGCAGUAAGGAAUAUUGGUCAAUGGACGCAAGUCUGAACCAGCCAUGCCGCGUGGAGGAUGAAGGUCCUCUGGAUUGUAAACUUCUUUUAUUUGGGAAGAAACUCCCGAUUUCCAUCGGGAUUGACGGUACCAGAUGAAUAAGCACCGGCUAACUCCGUGCUAGCAGCCGCGGUAAUACGGAGGGUGCAAGCGUUAUCCGGAUUCACGGGGGCGAAAGUGGGCGGGGAUGGGCGGGGAUAAAUCUCCGGGCUUAACCCGGAAACUGCCAUUGAUACUAUUUGUCUUGAAUACUCUGGAGGUGAGCGGAAUAUGUCAUGUAGCGGUGAAAUGCUUAGAUAUGACAUAGAACACCCAUUGCGAAGGCAGCUCACUACGGAAAUAUUGACGCUGAGGCACGAAAGCGUGGGGAUCAAACAGGAUUAGAUACCCGUGUAGUC
RNAcentral lists this ribosomal RNA (450 nucleotides) under uncultured bacterium. Its description in RNAcentral is "partial 16S ribosomal RNA". It matches the Rfam family "Bacterial small subunit ribosomal RNA", at positions 338 to 795 of the family's 1533-position model. The record is from RNAcentral.